RNAcentral lists this ribosomal RNA (494 nucleotides) under uncultured bacterium. Its description in RNAcentral is "partial 16S ribosomal RNA". It matches the Rfam family "Bacterial small subunit ribosomal RNA", at positions 28 to 507 of the family's 1533-position model. The record is from RNAcentral.
GACGAACGCUGGCGGCGUGCUUAACACAUGCCAGUCGAACGGUGAAGCGCCUUCCUUUUUGGUGGGUGUGGAUGAGUGGCGAACGGGUGAGUAACACGUGAGUAACCUGCCCCCUUCUUCUGGAUAACCGCAUGAAAGUGUGGCUAAUACGGGAUAUUCUGGGUCUGUCGCAUGAUGGGUCUGGGAAAGAUAUUGUUUCGGUGGGGGAUGGGCUCGCGGCCUAUCAGCUUGUUGGUGGGGUGAUGGCCUACCAAGGCGGUGACGGGUAGCCGGCCUGAGAGGGUGGACGGUCACACUGGGACUGAGACACGGCCCAGACUCCUACGGGAGGCAGCAGUGGGGAAUAUUGCACAAUGGGCGCAAGCCUGAUGCAGCGACGCCGCGUGAGGGAUGGAGGCCUUCGGGUCGUGAACCUCUUUCGCCAGUGAAGCAGGCCUGCCUCGUUUGUGGGUGGGUUGACGGUAGCUGGAUAAGAAGCGCCGGCUAACUACGUG